CCUCCUUUCUAAGGAUAAAGAUAUUUGGUUUGCCAAAUAUCCGGGUUGUUGCCUUCGUAUCUCUUUAAAAAAAUAAUAUUAUAACAUCUAGUGCAGUUUAAUCCUGGGCUAGUAGCUCAGUUGGUUAGAGCGCGCGCUUGAUAAGCGUGAGGUCGGAGGUUCAAGUCCUCCCUGGCCCACCAUAUUGAGAUUAUGGGGGAUUAGCUCAGCUGGGAGAGCGCCUGAUUUGCAUUCAGGAGGUCAGCGGUCCGAUCCCGCUAUCCUCCACCAUAACUGAACUAGAUAAUUUUUAAUAUUUAUAUCACCAUAUAUUUAGAGUUAAUGAAUUAAAGAACACUCUUUGAAAUUGUAAAUAUGUUAAGUUAAUAACUGUCAAUUAAAUUAUUUAAUAACGAUUGUUAAAAUUAUUUUUUAAAAAACGUACAGCUAAAAUUUUUCUCUGUACGUAUAAUUUUGUAAUCAAGCGCAAAAGGGCGUUUAGUGGAUGCCUGGGCAUCAAGAGACGAUUAAGGACGUGGUAGGCUGCGAUAGCUAAGGGGAGUGCCAACAA
Molecule: unclassified non-coding RNA, 550 nt
Filed under: uncultured Alphaproteobacteria bacterium
Lineage: Bacteria; Pseudomonadati; Pseudomonadota; Alphaproteobacteria
Description: partial 16S-23S ribosomal RNA intergenic spacer
Rfam family: tRNA (bases 106-179)
Source: RNAcentral